UACGAAGGGGGCUAGCGUUGCUCGGAAUCACUGGGCGUAAAGCGCACGUAGGCGGAUUGCUAAGUCAGGGGUGAAAUCCUGGAGCUCAACUCCAGAACUGCCCUUGAUACUGAUGGUCUCGAGUCCGGGAGAGGUGAGUGGAACUGCGAGUGUAGAGGUGAAAUUCGUAGAUAUUCGCAAGAACACCAGUGGCGAAGGCGGCUCACUGGCCCGGUACUGACGCUGAGGUGCGAAAGCGUGGGGAGCAAACAGG
Molecule: ribosomal RNA, 253 nt
Filed under: uncultured bacterium
Lineage: Bacteria
Description: partial 16S ribosomal RNA
Rfam family: Bacterial small subunit ribosomal RNA
Source: RNAcentral